UUUUUUUCUUUCUGGAUAGAAACUGCUUGAAGCCGGCAUCGAGGUGCCGGAGGCUGGGAAGAAGGGAGCAGGACUGCAGGAGGAGAACAAGAGUCUCAAAGAUGAGAUGAAGACCCUGAAGGAGGAGCUGGACACCACCAAGAAAGCUCUGCAGAAGUCAGACAGCGACGUUCAGGCAAUGAAGAAACAGGCUGAGAACCUGACGGUGGAGUACGACAGACUGCUGGAAGAGCACAGCAAGCUGCUGGCGAGCAGCGAUAAGAAAUCAGACUGAGAAGGGGAGAGACCGUUUCCGGCUUCUGUCAUCUUCAUCUUCCUCAACUUCGCCGUCCUCAACACACGGUCUGCAGCUUCUGUAUCCACCUUGCCGUCCUGCUCAGCGAUAUGAUGUCACUUCCUUUGGGUCAGCUGACGCCGACGGGCUGUGAUUGGUUAAUUAGACCGUCGUCAGCUGUUAAACUCUUCAGCCUCUGUCACUGUUGGAGUUUCUUAAUUUUUUGUCUUUCGUACUGAAGAGUUGUUUUGUUUUUUUGUUUCCUUUUCACUUUGAUUUGAGCCUUUUUUUUUUUUCCCCACUUUGCUGUUUUAGAGGAAUUAAACAGUUAAACAGUGUUUUCUUCUUAAAAUUUGACCUGAAUUUAAAUCAUGUGUUCUGCUGUUCACUCCAUAAUAAGACGGCUGAGAUUCAUGUUUUUCACAAUCUGGGUUCAAAUUAGGGUUAAAAAGUCUCCAAACAGAAAAAAGUCACGCGGUGAAUGUAAGGUUGUAAAUUUAUCCCGAAUGCGUCUGUGGCAUUUUUGAAUUAAACGAAAUCCCCUAAUUUCUUGCUGUAAAGUGUGAUCAGGACCUUCAUGAAUGUUUGGAGCCGCGGCUGGACGACGGCCCGGCCUCAAAGUGUGCGUCACUUUGUACGAGCAGAAGAAAAGAUCAGCAUCUUUUUGACACGUUUUCUGUUCUGAGUUGGAUCAAUCAUUUACUUGAAAAUUGUUAAGAGAUUAAAGUUAAGAUCCCGAUUUUACAGUCCUGUGACCUUUGCAGAUCAUUAUUCACCCACACAGCGAAGUAAAGGAUUAGAGCAGAAACUGUGACCAGAAGAAACGCUGUCUUCUGCCGGUGCUCUGCGAUCAGUCUUUGUUGCCAGGCGUAAUAAACACGCUCCACGUCCACAUCUGUUGGUUGGUUCGGUGGGGAUUUCUGUUUCUGCUCAGAAGUGAACAGUGAAGUUUUGGGUUUAACGGCUGGUUGUUCUGAGAUUCGCUCUGUGCUGAGAGAACAGGCGACUCUGUCUGUUCCUGGGCCUCGUCCACCUGAAACCAUCCUCGCCCAUUUCCAGCUGCAUUUUCCCCAGAUGUCAGCGCAGUUUGGCAAACGUUUGAGAAUUUGUUGCUACUCAGUUUCUCCGACCAACUCCCGAGGUUCCUGUAAAGACAUUAGAGAGCGUCUGUUUCCUGAGGAGCAGAUAUCUUGGCACUGAGAGCCUCUCAGGCCACGCCGAUGUUUGCCACCGGUUGCUGGUUUAGAAAGAAGCACGCGUGGCGUUUGUGUGUGAACAGACGUGCAGCUGUAAAGGACUUCAACGUGUCGCAUUAGCAGGAGUUAAAUUCCCUCAGACGUAGAAAACUCAGCCGUGAACAUGAGCGAGCGGGUGAAAAGGUUUCCAGAGGGGCAUUGCUACCUGGUCUGGAACCGGUUGGCGUCAUUUCAGCCUGUCCCUCCUUUUUGGCAGCAUAGUAAAGGAGCUUUGUAUUGUUCCCAUGGUGAUUGGACAUUAUUUAGGCAUCAUGUUACCCUCCUCUAUAAUAAAGUGGAAAACGUCUGUGGCUUUGAAAGGUGAAAGGUCUCGGUGGGAAUUCUGUUUUUCUAAGUUACUUUUGCCCUCCUCCCCAUGGGCAGAGUGGACACCUGCCCCGAAGCCCCCAGGGUCCCUGUGUGGCAGUCAGCUAGUGGUCAUUUAACCGCAACUUCGUUUGGGAACACGCGGCACGAAAAGCACAUUAAAGCUGUAAGGGCCCCCGGCACAAGCUACACUUUGUCCUUCCCUCCGAUCCGGAUCCGUGGAGGAAGGACUCCAGCAGAAGCUCAGACUGCUGGAGCUGCUGCCAGACUUCGGCAUUUCUUCACAGGAAAUGCAGAAACGCAAAUGCUUGAGAAACAAAACUGCCCACGAGGUCGUUCAGAGGCUUCGUUCACUCCAACUGCCCGACGUUUUUUUAUGAACGGGGUAUCUGCAGGUCUUCGAUCCUUAAAAAGCAAUGAUUUUGUUCUCCUGAAAAAAGUCUUCACAUCACUUCACCACGGUGUUAAAUCUUGAGCUGCAGUAAACACUGUGCUGCUACAGUAGCUGGAAGACCACCAGCUCAGAACCGACAGGUCGGGAUUUUAGCUAAAACAUUAACAUUAACUUUAACUUCAAUAAAUUCUCAUUUUUAAUUGUGGGGACACAAUUAAAAGUGUUGAGAUGACAAAAUUAUCGUUGUCUAAGAAAUGUGAUACAAGUAAUAAUUCUCGGCCAUAAUGACCCGUGGGCGGGAAAUCCUGUCGGUCUGGCCAGACUCUUCCCCAUAUCUAGGUGGUAUUUAGAAGAAGUCUUAAAUUCCACCUGCAGAAAUCCGGUUCAGAUCUUGUUCAGUGAGAGAAGUUUCCAGAAAUCCCUCUGAAUGUGUCAGUUGGCAGCCGCAUGUCGACCACGGUGGAGGUAGUGGGCCUGUUUGAUUGUACUUAUAUUGGGACUCAGUCGACGUUGGUCACAUUCCUGUCUUGCAUGAUGAAGCUUUAAGACGAACACUUUUGUGACACUUGGGUGAUUUUGUUUGUUUCAGUCAUUUUUUUCUCGUAGCUCAGAAAUGAACGCAAACUUUUCCCAGUUUGUUACAGAUCACUCUUUUCACGGGAUUUGGUGACAACAGGAAAAACCUUUGGAAUCAUUUAGAUCCCGGGACUAGGAGCCAUUCCUUUUAUUCUUAUGCGGGGUUAUUAUACUUUUUUUUGUUUUUUUUGUACGUAGGUUUUAUGAUGUGAUUUCUGGUUAAUUCAGUUACAGCUUGAAGAAACACUGACGGGAACGUCGCUGCUUAAAAGUGAUGAUGCACAGAAAACUUAGACCUAAAAAUCUUGUUUCAUCACCUUUAAUUUGCUCAGAUUCAACAUAUUUGUCCGUGUAUCGAGUGACAACUGCAUGUUUUGUCUAAAAUGUUUUCAAGGUUAAAUGUUCAAUGAACUGACCAGAGGUUCAGACAAAAACAUUCAGACCAAAUCUCAUUCUAACAUUUCUGUGUUUAAACACUUUUCUUCCCGUUACAGCGGCUCUUUUCUUCUGUAUUUUAUUUUCACAUAUGUUGAAGACAGUAAACUUGUACUGAUAGUUGUGUUAAACUCUAGAGGGUGCUGUUUGCAGGUAUUAUGGGAUUUCUGAGGCGAACUGUAUCUGGACUCAUCACAGUCCAGGUGCAGAGCGCUGAAAUAAACCACCAAAGGAGCAUCUACACAGUC
Long non-coding RNA from Xiphias gladius (swordfish), 3489 nucleotides. RefSeq lists it as uncharacterized. The transcript is spliced from 3 exons. NCBI's taxonomy places the organism in Eukaryota, Metazoa, Chordata, Actinopteri, Istiophoriformes, Xiphiidae. The record is from RefSeq and is a predicted model, not a curated record.